RNAcentral lists this unclassified non-coding RNA (604 nucleotides) under Hevea brasiliensis (rubber tree). Lineage: Eukaryota; Viridiplantae; Streptophyta; Magnoliopsida; Malpighiales; Euphorbiaceae. The record is from RNAcentral.
AUUGGCACCCUUUAGAGGAUUUCUGUAAGUAUGGAAACCCAGUUUGAUGGUGGGUUUCAUUAUUUACUGUCUAAAGAAGAAACUAAAUAAUUGUUUCUAUCAAGAAAGAAUGGCCUUGAAAGAGGAUGGUGCUCAGUUUGGUCCUGCGUUGCUCUUGUUUGAAAGCAGAAAUUGCCAAAUGGUUAUGAUCUUCUCACCGUUGAUGCUUUGAGUUUGAGUAAAAGUUCCAUCCUUCAUGGGGUGGUGGUGAAAGGUGCUGCACUUCUAGUAGCAGUAGAGACGUUAGUCAUGACUAGAUUUUUAGAGAUGGAAAGCCACAAACAGAAAUUAAAGAAGGAAAUUAUUAGGGUGAAGAAGAGAACGAGCCUACAUGAAACAAGGAAAAAAUAGUCGCUGGAUGAGAAACAAGAUUUGUUUUAAAGAGGUGUGCUAACUAACCAUUACAGGUGCGACGUAGACAGCUAAAAUUUUGUUCACUCCUCUCUUCCCGCGUGACAUCACGCAACUUGCUAAAUAUGCAAUUUUGUAUUUUAGUGUUAAUUUUUUUUUUUUUAAGUUUAGGAGUCUAACAAGUCUAAAACUUAAUUCAAGUGUACUAUAGGCA